Molecule: ribosomal RNA, 429 nt
Filed under: Bacteroidota bacterium
Lineage: Bacteria; Pseudomonadati; Bacteroidota
Description: Bacteroidetes bacterium partial 16S ribosomal RNA
Rfam family: Bacterial small subunit ribosomal RNA
Source: RNAcentral
UAGGGAAUCUUCGGCAAUGGGGGGAACCCUGACCGAGCAACGCCGCGUGAGUGAAGAAGGUUUUCGGAUCGUAAAGCUCUGUUGUUAAGGAAGAACGAGUGUGAGAAUGGAAAGUUCAUGCUGUGACGGUACUUAACCAGAAAGGGACGGCUAACUACGUGCCAGCAGCCGCGGUAAUACGUAGGUCCCGAGCGUUGUCCGGAUUUAUUGGGCGUAAAGCGAGCGCAGGCGGUUAGAAAAGUCUGAAGUGAAAGGCAGUGGCUCAACCAUUGUAGGCUUUGGAAACUGUUUAACUUGAGUGCAGAAGGGGAGAGUGGAAUUCCAUGUGUGGCGGUGAAAUGCGUAGAUAUAUGGAGGGACACCGGUGGCGAAAGCGGCUCUCUGGUCUGUAACUGACGCUGAGGCUCGAAAGCGUUGGGAGCGAACAGG